RNAcentral lists this ribosomal RNA (507 nucleotides) under uncultured bacterium. Its description in RNAcentral is "bacterial SSU rRNA". It matches the Rfam family "Bacterial small subunit ribosomal RNA", at positions 28 to 525 of the family's 1533-position model. The record is from RNAcentral.
GAUGAACGCUAGCGGCAGGCCUAACACAUGCAAGUCGAGGGGCAUCAUGGCGUAGCAAUACGCUGAUGGCGACCGGCGCACGGGUGCGUAACGCGUAUGGAACCUACCCACCGCAGGGGGAUAACCCGCCGAAAGGCGGACUAAUACCCCAUGGUUCCCCGACCCUGCCUGGGGUUGGGGGUAAAGCCUACGGGCGGCGGUGGAUGGCCCUGCGUGCCAUUAGCUGGCUGGUGGGGUAACGGCCCACCAGGGCGACGAUGGCUAGGGGGUCUGAGAGGACGAUCCCCCACACUGGUACUGAGACACGGACCAGACUCCUACGGGAGGCAGCAGUGAGGAAUAUUGGUCAAUGGGCGGAAGCCUGAACCAGCCAUGCCGCGUGCAGGAUGACGGCCCUACGGGUUGUAAACUUCUUUUGCAGGGGAAUAAAGUAUUCCACGAGAUGGGAUAUUGCAAGUACGCUGCGAAUAAGGAUCGGCUAACUCCGUGCCAGCAGCCGCGGUAAUA